Molecule: ribosomal RNA, 253 nt
Filed under: uncultured bacterium
Lineage: Bacteria
Description: partial 16S ribosomal RNA
Rfam family: Bacterial small subunit ribosomal RNA
Source: RNAcentral
UACAGAGGGGGCAAGCGUUGUUCGGAAUUACUGGGCGUAAAGGGCGCAUAGGCGGCCUGCUAAGUCGAACGUGAAAUCCCCGAGCUCAACUCGGGAACUGCGUCCGAUACUGGCAGGCUUGAAUCCGGGAGAGGGAUGCGGAAUUCCAGGUGUAGCGGUGAAAUGCGUAGAUAUCUGGAGGAACACCGGUGGCGAAGGCGCUCUGCUGGACCAUAACUGACACUCAGGGACGAAAGCUAGGGGAGCGAAUGGG